UAAUCGCUUAAGAACCCAAGAGCACAAACUUCAUUAACAUCUCAUCUAUUUGAAAAAAGAAGUAAGCCAAUGACUAUGUAUACACAUAUGUACAUGUACAUGCAUAUGUCGUUCAAAACUAGUUUUUAAGGAAAACGGCAAGUCAGCAUAAAAAAACUUUUAUAAGGUAUAUAUGUAUUUAUACACACUUUUUCUAAAUCAUGACUUGCUCUUUUAAGCUAGCUUGCCAGCAGUUUUAUCAGCUCCGCGACAUUGUAAGUUUUCGCUGCAACAUUCUCAAAUUCCACUACAAUGUUGUUUUCAGUUUCAAUGUCAAUGUCCCUGACACAACGACUGACUGCUGAUUGUAUGCGCAUGCGCUCUUUUAAUUACAUAAUACAGCGCAAUUUGCCAAGAAAUACUCAAACUUCACCGAUAAGUAUAAGUGCUAUUGAGGCGAUGUGAUCCCUAUUUGGAAACAUGGAUGCAAGGGCUUUUAUUCUUCGCCUACAAACUGUUGUGCACUCAAUUAGCAUGUCUUCUGGAGUUUUAGGAGGACAAGGUCCAGGAGUGUAACGGUCAAACCAAUAGCAUUUACAAAAAUAGCUGUAUAUGAUGGAACAUUUUUGAAUUCAAAUUCGUAAUCAGUACCAGAGACCUCUUAGCACAUCAAUCGCAAUUUUUUUAAAUACUAAAUAUGACUGGGAAAUUAUCAAUUUCUUGAAAAAUGUAAGACCUCAGAAUGACAAUUAAAUACU
Molecule: long non-coding RNA, 737 nt
Organism: Bactrocera dorsalis (oriental fruit fly)
Lineage: Eukaryota; Metazoa; Arthropoda; Insecta; Diptera; Tephritidae
Exons: 2
Source: RefSeq, a predicted model, not a curated record